CUUAACACAUGCAAGUCGAACGAUGAAGACCGUGCUUGCACGGUUGGAUUAGUGGCGAACGGGUGAGUAUCACGUGAGUAACCUUCCCUUAACUCUGGGAUAAGCCCGGGAAACUGGGUCUAAUACCGGAUACGACCAGUCCUCGCAUGGGGUGCUGGUGGAAAGAUUUAUCGGUUUUGGAUGGACUCGCGGCCUAUCAGCUUGUUGGUGAGGUAAAGGCUCACCAAGGCGAUGACGGGUAGCCGGCCUGAGAGGGUGACCGGCCACACUGGGACUGAGACACGGCCCAGACUCCUACGGGAGGCAGCAGUGGGGAAUAUUGCACAAUGGGCGAAAGCCUGAUGCAGCGACGCCGCGUGCGGGAUGACGGCCUUCGGGUUGUAAACCGCUUUCAGCAGGGAAGAAGCGCAAGUGACGGUACCAGCAGAAGAAGCGCCGGCCAACUACGUGCCAGCAGCCGCGGUAAUACGUAGGGCGCGAGCGUUAUCCGGAAUUAUUGGGCGUAAAGAGCUCGUAGGCGGUUUGUCACGUCUGCUGUGAAAGCCCGGGGCUCAACCCCGGGUGUGCAGUGGGUACGGGCAGACUAGAGUGCAGUAGGGGAGACUGGAAUUCCUGGUGUAGCGGUGAAAUGCGCAGAUAUCAGGAGGAACACCGAUGGCGAAGGCAGGUCUCUGGGCUGUUACUGACGCCGAGGAGCGAAAGCAUGGGGAGCGAACAGGAUUAGAUACCCUGGUAGUCCAUGCCGUAAACGUUGGGCACUAGGUGUGGGGAACAUUCCACGUUUUCCGCGCCGUAGCUAACGCAUUAAGUGCCCCGCCUGGGGAGUACGGCCGCAAGGCUAAAACUCAAAGGAAUUGACGGGGGCCCGCACAAGCGGCGGAGCAUGCGGAUUAAUUCGAUGCAACGCGAAGAACCUUACCAAGGCUUGACAUGGACCGGACCGCUGCAGAGAUGCAGUUUCCCUUCGGGGUCGGUUCACAGGUGGUGCAUGGUUGUCGUCAGCUCGUGUCGUGAGAUGUUGGGUUAAGUCCCGCAACGAGCGCAACCCCUAUCCUAUGUUGCCAGCACGUUAUGGUGGGGACUCAUGGGAGACUGCCGGGGUCAACUCGGAGGAAGGUGGGGACGACGUCAGAUCAUCAUGCCCCUUAUGUCUUGGGCUUCACGCAUGCUACAAUGGCCGGUACAAUGGGUUGCGAUACUGUGGGGUGGAGCUAAUCCCUAAAAGCCGGUCUCAGUUCGGAUCGAAGUCUGCAACUCGACUUCGUGAAGUUGGAGUCGCUAGUAAUCGCAGAUCAGCAACGCUGCGGUGAAUACGUUCCCGGGCCUUGUACACACCGCCCGUCAAGUCACGAAAGUGGGUAACACCCGAAGCCGGUGGCCUAACCCUUGUGGGGGGAGCCGUCGAAGGUGGGA
Molecule: ribosomal RNA, 1413 nt
Filed under: Nesterenkonia halotolerans
Lineage: Bacteria; Bacillati; Actinomycetota; Actinomycetes; Micrococcales; Micrococcaceae
Description: bacterial SSU rRNA
Rfam family: Bacterial small subunit ribosomal RNA
Source: RNAcentral